CCUACGGGAGGCAGCAGUGAGGAAUAUUGGUCAAUGGGCGCAAGCCUGAACCAGCCAAGUCGCGUGAGGGAAGACGGCCCUACGGGUUGUAAACCUCUUUUGCCGGGGAGCAAGCCUGAGCACGUGUGCCCAGGUGGAGAGUACCCGGAGAAAAAGCAUCGGCUAACUCCGUGCCAGCAGCCGCGGUAAUACGGAGGAUGCGAGCGUUAUCCGGAUUUAUUGGGUUUAAAGGGGGCGCAGGCGGGCUGUUAAGUCGGCGGUAAAAAUUCAGGGCUCAACCCUGUCGAGCCGUCGGAACUGGCAGCCUUGAGUGGGCGAGAGGUAUGCGGAAUGCGUGGUGUAGCGGUGAAAUGCAUAGAUAUCACGCAGAACGCCGAUUGCGAAGGCAGCAUACCGGCGCCCGACUGACGCUGAGGCACGAAGGCGUGGGGAUCGAACAGGAUUAGAUACCCUUGUAGUC
RNAcentral lists this ribosomal RNA (460 nucleotides) under uncultured bacterium. RNAcentral's name for it is "partial 16S ribosomal RNA". It matches the Rfam family "Bacterial small subunit ribosomal RNA", at positions 338 to 795 of the family's 1533-position model. The record is from RNAcentral.